Molecule: non-coding RNA, 124 nt
Filed under: Chloroflexota bacterium
Lineage: Bacteria; Bacillati; Chloroflexota
Description: Chloroflexi bacterium SAM-I sequence
Rfam family: SAM riboswitch aptamer (S box leader)
About the family: The SAM riboswitch is found upstream of a number of genes which code for proteins involved in methionine or cysteine biosynthesis in Gram-positive bacteria. The SAM riboswitch acts at the level of transcription termination control. The predicted structure consists of a complex stem-loop region followed by a single stem loop terminator region.
Source: RNAcentral
CUCUUAUCAAGAGAGGUGGAGGGUAUUACGGCCCGAUGAAGCCCGGCAACCAACGCAAUCAAAAACCAAUAUGCGUAUGGUGCCAAUUCCGGCGCUGCCAGUCCUGGCAAGCGCAAGAUAAGGG